RNAcentral lists this transfer RNA (77 nucleotides) under Marmota monax (woodchuck). RNAcentral's name for it is "tRNA.Ala". Lineage: Eukaryota; Metazoa; Chordata; Mammalia; Rodentia; Sciuridae. The record is from RNAcentral.
GGGGUUGUGACUCAGAGGUAGAGUGCUUGCCUAGCAUGCAUGAGGCACUAGCACUGGGUUCCAUCCUCAGCACCACA